CGGGACACGUGGUAUCCUGUCUGAAUAUGGGGGGACCAUCCUCCAAGGCUAAAUACUCCUGACUGACCGAUAGUGAACCAGUACCGUGAGGGAAAGGCGAAAAGAACCCCGGCGAGGGGAGUGAAAAAGAACCUGAAACCGUGUACGUACAAGCAGUGGGAGCACGCUUAGGCGUGUGACUGCGUACCUUUUGUAUAAUGGGUCAGCGACUUAUAUUCUGUAGCAAGGUUAACCGAAUAGGGGAGCCGAAGGGAAACCGAGUCUUAACUGGGCGUUAAGUUGCAGGGUAUAGACCCGAAACCCGGUGAUCUAGCCAUGGGCAGGUUGAAGGUUGGGUAACACUAACUGGAGGACCGAACCGACUAAUGUUGAAAAAUUAGCGGAUGACUUGUGGCUGGGGGUGAAAGGCCAAUCAAACCGGGAGAUAGCUGGUUCUCCCCGAAAGCUAUUUAGGUAGCGCCUCGUGAAUUCAUCUCCGGGGGUAGAGCACUGUUUCGGCAAGGGGGUCAUCCCGACUUACCAACCCGAUGCAAACUGCGAAUACCGGAGAAUGUUAUCACGGGAGACACACGGCGGGUGCUAACGUCCGUCGUGAAGAGGGAAACAACCCAGACCGCCAGCUAAGGUCCCAAAGUCAUGGUUAAGUGGGAAACGAUGUGGGAAGGCCCAGACAGCCAGGAUGUUGGCUUAGAAGCAGCCAUCAUUUAAAGAAAGCGUAAUAGCUCACUGGUCGAGUCGGCCUGCGCGGAAGAUGUAACGGGGCUAAACCAUGCACCGAAGCUGCGGCAGCGACGCUGAUGCGUUGUUGGGUAGGGGAGCGUUCUGUAAGCCUGCGAAGGUGUGCUGUGAGGCAUGCUGGAGGUAUCAGAAGUGCGAAUGCUGACAUAAGUAACGAUAAAGCGGGUGAAAAGCCCGCUCGCCGGAAGACCAAGGGUUCCUGUCCAACGUUAAUCGGGGCAGGGUGAGUCGACCCCUAAGGCGAGGCCGAAAGGCGUAGUCGAUGGGAAACAGGUUAAUAUUCCUGUACUUGGUGUUACUGCGAAGGGGGGACGGAGAAGGCUAUGUUGGCCGGGCGACGGUUGUCCCGGUUUAAGCGUGUAGGCUGGUUUUCCAGGCAAAUCCGGAAAAUCAAGGCUGAGGCGUGAUGACGAGGCACUACGGUGCUGAAGCAACAAAUGCCCUGCUUCCAGGAAAAGCCUCUAAGCAUCAGGUAACAUCAAAUCGUACCCCAAACCGACACAGGUGGUCAGGUAGAGAAUACCAAGGCGCUUGAGAGAACUCGGGUGAAGGAACUAGGCAAAAUGGUGCCGUAACU
This 1315-nucleotide ribosomal RNA is filed under the name Escherichia coli. Its description in RNAcentral is "partial 23S ribosomal RNA". It matches the Rfam family "Bacterial large subunit ribosomal RNA", at positions 418 to 1735 of the family's 2925-position model. Lineage: Bacteria; Pseudomonadati; Pseudomonadota; Gammaproteobacteria; Enterobacterales; Enterobacteriaceae. The record is from RNAcentral.